GUAGGUGGCAAGCGUUGUCCGGAGUUAUUGGGCGUAAAGCGCGCGCAGGCGGUUCUUUAAGUCUGAUGUGAAAGCCCACGGCUCAACCGUGGAGGGUCAUUGGAAACUGGAGAACUUGAGUACAGAAGAGGAAAGCGGAAUUCCACGUGUAGCGGUGAAAUGCGUAGAGAUGUGGAGGAACACCAGUGGCGAAGGCGGCUUUCUGGUCUGUAACUGACGCUGAGGCGCGAAAGCGUGGGGAGCAAACAGGAUUAGAUACCCUGGUAGUCCACGCCGUAAACGAUGAGUGCUAAGUGUUAGGGGGUUUCCGCCCCCCUUAGUGCUGCAGCUAACGCAUUAAGCACUCCGCCUGGGAGUACGGCCGCAAGGCUG
Molecule: ribosomal RNA, 372 nt
Filed under: uncultured organism
Description: partial 16S ribosomal RNA
Rfam family: Bacterial small subunit ribosomal RNA
Source: RNAcentral